GCAUCCAUGGCUGAAUGGUUUAAAGCGCCCAACCGGGCAAAUUCGUAGGUUCGAUUCCUGCUGGAUGCA
Centaurea solstitialis (yellow star-thistle) is the source of this 69-nucleotide non-coding RNA. NCBI's taxonomy places the organism in Eukaryota, Viridiplantae, Streptophyta, Magnoliopsida, Asterales, Asteraceae. The record is from the annotation of a GenBank genome assembly.